RNAcentral lists this antisense RNA (75 nucleotides) under Actinacidiphila paucisporea. Its description in RNAcentral is "Streptomyces paucisporeus ASpks TB sRNA". It matches the Rfam family "ASpks TB sRNA". Lineage: Bacteria; Bacillati; Actinomycetota; Actinomycetes; Kitasatosporales; Streptomycetaceae. The record is from Rfam by way of RNAcentral.
CUUCAACGAGCCCAGCCACAGCGGCUCUUCCGCCGUCCUGUCGCUGCCGUAGGUCGCCAGCAGCGCCUGGGCCUC